CUCUGGAAGGAAGCACUUUCUG
RNAcentral lists this microRNA (22 nucleotides) under Pongo pygmaeus (Bornean orangutan). RNAcentral describes it as "ppy-miR-520c-5p". Its record names the gene ppy-miR-520c-5p. The record is from miRBase by way of RNAcentral. Lineage: Eukaryota; Metazoa; Chordata; Mammalia; Primates; Hominidae.